GGUUGUGAACGUUUAUUAAUUAUCACUGCUAUAAGUGAACUGUAAUUUAGAAUAUUAGCAGAGUGCCAUGGUCUCAGGAAGCAUAGUGAUCUAUUGCAUUAUAAAUCAAUUUAUAAACACCACGUAGACACCUGUAUGACGAUAAGGUUUUUAUGCCAGGAAUAGUUUGCUCGUGUUCAAUAAAGGAAAUUGGAUGUUCAAUUCCAGACGUUCUCAAGAAAGGUGCUUGACCGUCAAAUGCUCGCGACAUCGCGCGGCAUCGGCCUAAAUGCAGAAAAGCCUGUGACGCUUAAGUUCAUUUUAGUGUCAUAAAAUUUCAAGUCAAUAUAAAAAAGCCUUUUGAAAUCCAAAUUUUAGUAAAGCUGCGUUUAAAUUACCUAUCUGAGGUUACUAUAAACGGUAUCUAAAGAACUAGGCAAUCUUCAAUAUCCCGCGAGCGAACUCUGCAAAAUGCCCUGUCGCGAAAAAUGCCCGAGAGCUUCAAGCAGCGAUUGUGUGCCACAAUGCUCUACCGGGGCUUCACAUUGCGAUUCCGAGCCAUCCUAUUUCAGUAUGGUGGUUGAUGCAGCCUCCUCGAUGCUUCAAGGCAUCGGCCUUGUAGCGGAGCGUUUCGUGUCGUGGUCGCCGCAGGAGCCGUGUCCCUCCGAGCCGCCCACCCCAGCCGUUCGCUCGUCGUCCUGUCCUCCUGCCGCUCUGCCGACCUGUCCUCCCGCCACUCUGCCGGCCUGCUCUCCGUCCCCCUGCGAGUCGCCUCGGCCAUGCCCGCCGCCCAAGCCGCAGUCGUGCACCCUGUCAGAAUCGCCGCAACGCAGGAAGCGCCGGCAGCGACGCUCCCGGCCCCACCCCGUCGCCAGGCCGCUCAAGAGCUGCUCCAAAGGGCAGUGAUGACGUGGUUGGACAACGGUUCUGCGUCAACCAGCUGUGUGACGAUGAUCUAUGGCUGUUUCAGGAAUUUGCAUGCCAAACUGGAUUUUUUAAUUUCGCCCUUAUAGAGAUGUGAGCGAUUCAGGAUAAAUUUUCAUAAAUUAAUUUGUAGAUAUCUAACGCCUCUUUAUUUCGUGCACCCACACUUUCGACAUAUAUUGGUUUCAAAUCACAACGUGAAAUAUCCCACUGUGAAUAUACACUUUAUAAACACC
This is a long non-coding RNA of Amphibalanus amphitrite, 1139 nucleotides long. RefSeq lists it as uncharacterized. The transcript is spliced from 2 exons. The record is from RefSeq and is a predicted model, not a curated record. Lineage: Eukaryota; Metazoa; Arthropoda; Thecostraca; Balanomorpha; Balanidae.